This 40146-nucleotide long non-coding RNA is filed under the name Medicago truncatula (barrel medic). RNAcentral describes it as "long non-coding RNA (MTRU_LNC004656)". The stretch from base 10373 to 10540 matches the Rfam family "MIR2680 microRNA precursor family". The record is from RNAcentral. Lineage: Eukaryota; Viridiplantae; Streptophyta; Magnoliopsida; Fabales; Fabaceae.
ACCCUCAAAUGAAUCAUCUUUGAAUGUGGAAAACUGAUUAUUUUGUGGUAUAGGACCUGUGAGAUUGUUAAAGGACACAUUUAAGUACUCCAAAAAGGUGAUUUCUGCCAACUGUUUGGGAAUUUUUCCUGAAAGACUGUUGAGAGAAAGAUCUAGUGCUUCAAGUUUUGAAAGCUUCCCUAAGGAAGAUGGUAUGCUUCCAAUAAGCAUAUUAUUCGACAAGUUGAGCAAAACAAGACCCUUUAACUCGCCUAUCACUUGUGGUAUCUCUCCACUGAUUUUGUUGCUUGAAAUAUCAAUGGCUAUUAAGCUGUAGAAAUUCUGAAGGUUCUCAUAAACCCUUGAAAACCCUUUGUUUGACAAUGUGAAUGUAUAAAACGUACUUUGUGUUGUACGAAUUUGUCCUGCACUGUUCGAUGUCGAGUAAGAUUCAUACUGUAAUUGACUUGUGUUGGUAGUUUUCAUUGUUUUCCAUCCUUGGAUCAUUUCUGAUGGAAAACUUCCAGAGAAUUCAUUGUGAGAAAGGUCAAUGAUGUGAAGUUUGGGAAAUGUGCAUGUCAUGUUGUCAGAGCACCUAAUGUCUCCAUGAAAUUCAUUGUUACUUAAAGACAAUACCUUCAACUCGGGUAAAUCUUUCAUCCAUAAUGGAAAUGAAUCAUUGAUAUUGUUAUAACUAACAUCAAAGAACUCUAGGCUUCUGCUAUUUACCAAUGCCCUUGGCAACUGACCCUGCAGAAUGUUGUUGCUAAAAUCAAUCCGCUGAAGGGAAUUUCCUAUCAUGUAUGUUUGAGGAAUGGGGCCAGACAAUUUGUUCCCUUUUAGAGCUAGUGUUUGUAAAGAUUGGCUAAAGUUUCCAAGACAUGAAGGAACAUUGCCGCUUAAGUUGUUGAACGCUAAAUCAAGAUAUGUGAGUGAUUUGAGAUUGCAUAUUAAUGGGGUUAUUUCUCCUGUCAAUGAAUUUUGGUUAACAACUAAGCCUUGUAGACUUUCUUUUUCCCAUAACCAAUUGGGUAGCGAUGUUAUAUUGUUUAAUGCCAACGCAAGAUAUUCCAGCUCACCGAGAUCUCUUAUAAAUGUUGGAAUCUCAACUAAAUUGCAUGAAUCCAAUUCUAAGCUUUGAAUUCGAGAAUCGGUCAUAUGGGAAGACCUUUUUCCACUGUACAAUGACAGUUUGUUGAAUGAUAAAUUAAGAACAGCUAGCUUUUUGAGUUUCAGAAACGUGUCAAGCUCUAGCUUUCCAUGCAAAGAAUUAAAGGGUAGGUCCAAGACAACUAAAUUUGUUAGGUUCAUAAUCCAAGAUGGUAUUUCACCCUUUAUAUUGCUAUUUUCUGCACUUAAAAGUACUAGCUGAGUGAGAUUUGCAAAAGAUAAUGGGAUCUCACUGCCAAUAUUGACUGAGGAUAUCUCCAAGGAAAUUAAUGAUGAAAGCUUACCUACCCAUGAGAAUGUCUCAAUAGUAAAUUCAUUGUGACUAAUAUCCAAUAAUCUUAGUUGGGUAAGAUUUGCCAAGGAUGCAGAAGGGUUGCCCCUAAAUUUGUUUUUUGAAAGGUCUAUAUCCAUGAGUUGUGUGAGGUUGCCAAGCGAAGAAGGAAUAUAUCCAAAAAAAUGGCAAUCUGAAAUUGAUAGAAGAAUUAAAGAACUAAGCUUCCCAAUGGAUACUGGCAGUGUACCAUAGAAACCUGUUUGAUCAAGUCCUAACCUGGUGAGUGAACUAGACUGAAACUCAGGCAAACUUCCAUUGAGAUUUGGAUUAUAUCUCAAAUCCAGAAGUUCCAAGUUUGGAAGAUGAAAUACUCCAACCGGAAACGCUCCAUACAAUUCAGAAUUGUAUAGAGAUAGUGCUUUCAACGAAGUUAGAUUUGUGAGUGUCUCUGGUAAAGUAGAUGAAAUUGUCACAAAACUAAGAAAAAGGAUCUCAAUUUUUGUUGAGUUUUGAAUUAUGCUUCUGAGACUAGACAAUUUGAGUUGCAACAAAUUGGAUGUACUACCUUUAGGAUGUACUAUAGCUCUGUAGCCUAGAUCAAGAGACAACAACUUUGACAACUGUGAAACAUGUGGUGGAAUUUCUCCAGAAAAUAAGCUAAGGGAAAGGUUCAGAUGUUUUAAUUGUGAAAGCUGACCUAUCUUGGACGGGAUUGGAGAGUAAUUGAAGUCAUUGUCAGAAAGAUCAAGAACUCGAAGGUGUACAAGGCGAAAGAGACUGCUAUUUGCAUCCAUUUUACCAUAGAGUUGGCUGCUACUAAGAUCAAUGUGAAUCACUUGAUUUGUGUGCUCAUGACAUUUAAUGCCAUCCCAUGAACAACAAUCUGUGCUGGAGUUCCAAGAUGCUGUUUUUGGAUAACCGAGAAGAUUAUCAGAGGCUAAGUUAUUGAUGACAAAGCCUUCCUUAAAUUGCAACAAGGCAUGGCUUUCAUAUUGAUGACACUUUGGCUGAAUUUGAGGAAAACAUGUAGUAAAUGUGAAAGUGAAAAGUGAAUACAGGAAAAGAAAUUUUAGUAACAAAACAAGAGACCUGACAAACACCAUUGUAUUUUAAUAUUUUGAAGUGAAUGUUUUGGAUGAAAAGCUAGACACAUGCUAAGUGAUUCUUAUAGUAAAUGAAAAUGUUUUGUAGUGAAUUUGAUUAUCAUUGACCGUGCAUUUUGGUUUAGCCCGUUGGAGAGGUUAACUUGAUCAACUCCAAAAAUACUUUGUCUCCUUUAUUUCCUUAAAUUCCAGGAAGGUAUUUGCAUCUUGGCUCUUAUCGUAGAUUCUACAACCAAUGCAUAUUAUACAAGACUUUGAUGUAACAUGAUAUGAUCUUUAAUCAAAAUAUGUGGCCAAUCCAAUACAGAAGGUCUAUUUGAUGUUUUAUCAUGUAGUGAGGCUUUCUUAUCUUCCACAUAUUUCAUUUUCUGUCCAUUUUUGGUUUUUCUUUUCUAAUUUCAGUACAUUUGUCUCUAUUGUUUGACUCAGCAAUUUCCUAUGACUUUCUUGCUUCUUGCAUUCUUGGAAAACAAUUUAAUUGACUUAGUCAAUUGUUCUUGUGCAAUUUUAUUUCAUACCGACAUAACAAUUUGUUUUCUCCCUUCAUAUACUCACCAUUUUAUUAUUUGGUUUUAUGCAUAAAAUUCAAUCUAGAACCAUGCAAGAGCUUGCACAAAUUUAUUGAAAAAUUAACUAUUUUAUAUGUACAAAUUUUUUAUUAAAAAACGCAUUUUAGGGAAAAGAUACUUGGAAAAAUGAAUGAAAUUUGUACCGUCCUAAUGUUGAGAUUUCUUACUAUGAUUCGGGGUCUGUUUGAUUGUUUGGAGAGAAGGUUUUGUUGGGAAGAAAAUAAACUAUUGAGAAAUAUUACGUUUUCUUUGUUUGAGAGAUUAUUUGUAGAGAAUAAUAAAUUAAAUAUACUAACAUUAAUAUGUUUUAAAUUUUGAGACUUCUAUAAUAACAUAAAUUGAAUUUAGAAAAUUUAUCUAAAUUCUCUCAUCCAAUGCAAUUUUUGAACUUUCUCAAAUUCGAAGGAUUUUGUAUUGCUCAUGAAAAAUAACAGUUCAAAGUUUUCUCUUUCCAAACCCCAACAUUCUCCCAAAUAGACUCUUGGUGAUGCAAAAAGAGUUAAUCAAGCAAGAGACUAUAGUAUGACAGUUUCUUUUCCCACCUACAAUAAAUACCUCUCACCCUAUUUUGGGAUUCUAAAAUCCAAAAAAAUGGGAGGAUUUUAAAUGUAUUUUAUGCUUUUGAAAGAUACAAUCCAAAAUGCAGUUGGGCACGCAAGAGGCAAAUAAGGUGAGAUAAGAAAUUCACUUAUGGCAUACUUCUAUAUUUUCCUUUUGACAAAAUGUGGCAAUCUUCCUAAGCUUUGCCCCCAAUCUUCUAAAUAAUAUAAGAAAGACAUUAAGAAAGUAAUGCCUGAACAAAUCUAUCAAAGUUUAUUUCAUAAGAAAAUUUAUUAUCACAAUUCACAACAUACAAAUUCAAUAUAAGUGUUUUUAAAUCUGAACAUAAUUUAAUCAAAUUUGACAAAAGAUCUCCCAUCUAUAUUACAGAAGAUUUUACUUAUUUGUAUCACAAUCUUCUCUAGUCUCUAAUGUUCGGCAACUCGGGUGUAGAAUGCAGACACAACAAUUAGUCCAAAUGAACAUACAAGCUAUAACAAUGAGUAAUCAGACUAAAAUAUAAAGACAACACUGUCAUGAACUCUCGACUUUUGAUUCUGAGCCACACAUUCUGAAAUCCACAUAAGAUUUCUUAUCUCCUGCUCCCUUAACCUCAUAUAUGCAAAGAAAACAGCAUAGUGAAACUGCAAAUAUAGACAAAUUAAGAUGGUUUAGUGAAUGAAUAAAACAUACGUACACCAUACAAAAACAUUUAUAAUUAAGCCAGUCAAUAUCCUUGCAGCUUAAUAUUAUGAUAUUCUGAACUGUUAAAAAAAUUAACCUGUUGCUCAAAUGCUAAGCAAUGCCUCUUGACUUCCUCCUCAUAGAAUGCCUUGUCAAGCAUCUGGCUCUCCCCAUACGAUAACUUCGCAAAGAUAGAUUGAUGAGGGUAUUUUUCCAUAACAGCACGAACCUACGCGAGCAACCAUGUAAAAGAAUUAAGGCUAAAAAAGCAAUACUAAAAGAAAUCAACUAGAAAUCAGUGGAUGUUAUAGACAACAAUGAUGAAUCUCAAAUAUUUCAGGGCCGAUACCAACAAGAAAUUGGUAGCCAAAAGCAACUCAAAUUGCAAAUGAAGUAAAAAUGAAAGUGCUCAAAAAUAUAAAAUGAAAGUUUCAAAGAGAUCCCUCAAACAAGAAUCAUCUACAAGUAGGGCAGUCUCCAGGUGGUACAGGUUUAAGGUCAUGCAACGGCAGUUAAACCAGGGAUAAGAGGAAUAAUAUAGUUGCAGCACAUUACAAUGACUUAGGUACUAAUAAAAAAAAAUCGAUAAAUAAUCUACUGCCCUAAGAAACACAAUCUAGAAGGGUCCAAGAAGCAUACAAAUUGAAAGAGGGAAAACACUGUACAUCAGCAAUGCAACAACCAAACGUUUAACACAAUUGAGAUGCAAAUCAUACCUGAUCAAUGUCCUCACAGACAGCAAGCUCCUCAUGACCAUAUGAAUAGCUGUUAAAAAUAAGUUGGUGAUUAGUAAAAUAAGCAUUACAAAUUAGUAUAUUGAUUUUCUUUUUCUUUUUUUUAAAAAUAUUUAACUGAAGGAUUAGAGCUUACAACAAACCGAAGUUAGAGUACAACUUCCUACGGUCAUCUCUGGUAAGCUCAGUUCCAAUGCUGCACAAUGUGGAAACCAUGGAUGCCAGUUAUGCAGAUAUCCAGAUAAACAAAAAGAUUAUACAAAGACUGCUUAGUACUUUACCUAUUGAUGGUAAUAUUAACAGCCCUUCUAUCACUGUCUGUGACACUUUGCAUGGGGAAACUUUCCAAUAUGUCAUCACAAUCCUCCUCUACAUCAAUGUAAGUUGCGGUAACAUGAAAUUGAUUUUUUAUGCAAAUUAUUUCAUUUUUGUUUUACUCUUGAUUUGAAAAACGUUUUUGGUGGUGCAGGGUAGAAUCCUCAUAUAAUGAAGAAAUUAAUUAAAUAUUGCAUGAUCUUUAUUGCUUUUGGAGUAAAAGUAACUAGCAGAAAACGAAGACUAUAUAUAACAAUUCAAUUCAAUUCACCCAUUUGGGGUUGGCCUAGUGGUUGGCUUGGGAUCUUGGAGUUUGCUCCUCCAGAGGUCUCAGGUUCGAUUCCCUCUGGAGCCAAUUUCGGUGGGCUAAGUCCAUACAGAGCUUGCUCUGGCUUUAAAUGGGGCCCCCGCAAGUGGGCGGUGGGAUUGGUCCCUCGGAUUAGUCGAUUCAUGAUCGGAUACCGAGUUUUCAAAAAAAUUCAAUUCAAUUCAAAGCACGCUCUUUCGAACAACCUUUAUUGCUUUUACAUACAAAGGAAACUCUUACAAUAUGCAAUUACAAGAACAGAAGGAAACUAAAACAAAUAAGAACAUAAAUAGAGAGGACUAAUAUCUUUAUUGCAUUCGACUCACAAGACCCUUUUAAACCAUAACAUAAAAACAACUCAUUAAUGUCUCUUAAAAAUCUUAUUAACCAAAAUUAUAACUGAAACGCUAAGGCAAUCUCUAUACCAUGCAAAUACCUGCAGAAAGUAAGUGUUUCCCAAUGCCACUCCAGCAACAAGUCCACCGCCAUAUCCAAUCAGAACUACUGUCCAGUAUAAUUCAAUGAAAGAUUUUGAGUCGUCAUCAUCAUCAUCAUCAGAAGUAGAAGGCCCUGCAGGAUCUAUACACUUCUUUAACAGCUGAUCCCCACACAGACCUUGGUUACCCUCAAAUGAAUCACCUUUGAAUGUAGAAAACUGAUUAUUUUGUGGUAUAGGACCUGUGAGAUUGUUAAAGGACACAUUUAAGUACUCCAAAAAGGUGAUUUCUGCCAACUGUUCGGGAAUUUUCCCUGAAAGACUGUUGAGAGAAAGAUCUAGUGCUUCAAGGUUUGAAAGCUUCCCUAAGGAAGAUGGAAUGCUGCCAAUAAGAUUGUUAUUCGACAAGUUGAGCAAAACAAGACCCUUCAACUCGUCUAUGAUUUGUGGUAUUUCUCCACUGAUUUUGUUGCUUGAAAUAUCAAUGGCUAUCAAGCUGUAAAACUCUUGAAGCUUCUCAUAAACCCUGUCCAUCCCUUUGCUUGACAUUGUGAAAGUAAGAAACUUAUUUGUUGUCACAUGAUAAUGUCUAUUGUUCAACCUCGAGUAAAAUAACUUUUCCUCGUAUUGUAACUGACUUGGGUUGGAAGUUUUCAUUGCUUUCCAUCUAAGGAUCAUUUCUGAUGGAAAAUUUCCAGAGAAAUCAUUGUGAGAAAGGUCAAUGAUAUGAAGCUUUGUAAAUGUGCAUGUCAUGUUUCCAGGGCACCUAAUGACUCCAUGAAAUUCAUUGUUACGUAAAGAUAAUACCUUCAACUCAUUUUUCCAGGGCUUGUGAUUUGCCAGAUAUAGUUACUUGCCUUUUGUUUCAAUCUCAUUUUUGCAUGAACCGCCCUUUCGGGUUUUCGGCUCAUCGAGACGCUUAUUCUUGCCUGAGUUGCGUACAAUCUCAGCGAGCUUUUUCAUAUUUGUUUUUUUUUUGUCCCUUAUUUUUGCCUGGAUCGCCCUUUCGGGUUUUCGAUCCACCGGAAAGCGCAUUUUUGCCUAGGCCGCCCUUUCGGGUUUUCGACCUACCACGCUGUUCUUUUCAUAUUUCUAGGCAAAGUAUUUCUUGACUAUAUCGGCAUUCACUGGAUUUGGAAGUUCUACACCAUCCAUGUGUGUAAGGAUUAAAGCACCACCGGAGAAGGCCUUCUUGACAACAUAAGGACCUUCAUAGUUAGGCGUCCACUUGCCCCUUGGGUCGGGUUGCUGGCUUACCCUCCUUUUCAAUACAAGUUCCCCUACCUUGAAUUCUCGAGGAUGGACUUUCUUGUCAAAAGCAGUCUUCAUUCUUGCUUGAUAUGACUGUCCACGAGCCAUGGCAUCCAUACGUUUUUCCUCAAUCAAAUUCAACUGAUCAUACCGGCUUUGGCACCAUUCAGCCUCAGAUAACUUUGCUUCCAUGAUCACACGGAGAGAUGGGAUCUCCACUUCCAAAGGAAGAACUGCUUCCAUACCAUAUACAAGAGAGAAAGGGGUUGCCCCAGUUGAACUGCGCACAGUAGUACGGUAGCCAUGCAGAGCAUAGGGUAACAUCUCAUGCCAGUCCUUGUAAGUGGUUACCAUCUUCUGGACAAUCCUCUUGAUAUUCUUGUUGGCGGCCUCAACUGCACCAUUCAUCUGAGGUCUAUAGGGAGAAGAGUUAUGAUGCUCGAUUUUGAAUUCUUCACAAAGAGCUUGCACCACAUUGUUGUUCAGGUUGGUACCAUUGUCGGUAAUAAUCUUGCUGGGAACACCAUAUCGACAGAUGAUGUUGUUCUUGAUGAACUUAGCUACCACUUGCUUGGUCACAUUGGUAUAAGAUGCUGCUUCAACCCAUUUGGUGAAGUAGUCAAUUGCCACUAAGAUGAAACGAUGACCAUUUGAAGCCUUCGGUUCAAUUCUUCCAAUCAUGUCGAUGCCCCACAUUGAAAACGGCCAUGGGGAUGAAAUAACAUUGAGAGCGUGCGGAGGCACAUGAAUCUUAUCAGCAUAGAUUUGACAUUUGUGGCACUUUCUGGCAUACUGGUAGCAAUCAUGCUCCAUGGUCAUCCAGUAGUAACCUGCUCGUAACAACUUCCUUGACAUAGUAUGCCCUGUAGCAUGGGUCCCGAAGGUACCGUCAUGUACAUCAUGCAUUAACUGCUCUGCUUCAUGUUCAUCAACACAUCUUAACAAUACCAUGUCAUAGUUUCUCUUGUACAGAAUAUCUCCAUCUAACAGGAAUCUACUGGCCAAUCUUCUCAGGGUCUUCUUAUCUUGUUUGGAAGCACCCGGCGGAUACUCACGGCUCAGCAAGAACUGUUUGAUGUCGUAGUACCAGGGUUUAUAGUCAACCACAUUUUCACCAGCCUGAUCGAUCACAUCCCCAAUAGCAAACACAUGUGAAGGUCUUUCAAGGCGUUGCACUUUGAUUAUUGGCACAUCAUUCCAAUGGUUUACUCGGAACAUGGAGGAUAGAGUAGCAAGAGCAUCAGCCAUUUGGUUCUCAUCACGAGGAAUAUGGUGCAGCUCAACCUUUGUAAAAUAUGUCAGCAAACGUCUAGCAUAAUCACGAUAAGGAAUCAACUUAGCAUGGUGGGUCUCCCAUUCACCCUUUAUCUGAUUGAUGACGAGCGCAGAAUCUCCAUAGAUGUCGAGGUGUUUGAUUCUCAUGUCAAUUGCUUCCUCGAUCCCAAAGAUACAUGCUUCGUAUUCAGCCAUGUUGUUUGUACAUUCGAACAGAAUCCGGGCUGUAAAAGGAAUGUGAUGCCCUUGCGGGGAUACAAUGAUUGCCCCAAUUCCUUUACCAUAAGCAUUGACAGCACCAUCAAAGACUAAACCCCACUUGCUAUUGGGAUCUGGACCUUCACCAAUCAACGGUUCUUCGCAGUCUUUUGAUUUCAAAUACAUGAUCUCUUCAUCGGGGAAAUCAAACUCAAUUGGUUGGUAAUCAUCAAGAGGUUGGUAGGCAAGAUGAUCGGCAAGAAUGCUACCUUUGAUUGCCUUUUGAGUUUUGAACACAAUAUCAUAUUCAGACAAAAGCAUCUGCCAGCGUGCAAUCUUCCCAGUAACAACAGCUUUCUCAAAGAUAUACUUUAUCGGAUCCAUUCUGGAUAUCAACCAAGUUGUAUGAUUCACCAAAUAAUGACGCAGGCGUUUAGCGGCCCAGGCCAAAGCACAACAAGUCUUCUCAAGCAUUGUAUACCGAGUUUCACAAUCGGUGAACUUCUUGCUUAGAUAGUAGAUAGCAUGUUCUUUCUUUCCAGUCUCAUCUUGUUGACCAAUUACGCAUCCCAUGGAUUCAUCAAAUACUGCCAAAUACAUAAUCAAAGGUCUUCCUUCCACGGGUGGGACAAGGAUAGGUGGUUCCAGCAGGUAAUUCUUGAUGCUAUCAAAAGCUUCUUGACAUUCAUCAUUCCAUACAAUAGGUUGAUUCUUUCUGAGUAGCUUGAAGAUCGGCCCGCAGGUUGCGGUCAUGUGAGAUAUGAAUCGGGAGAUGUAAUUCAAACGUCCGAGGAAACCUCUGACUUGCUUCUCGGUAUGUGGAGCUGGCAUUUCUCGGAUGGCCCGGACUUUAUCAGGAUCGACUUCAAUGCCUUUUUGGCUGACAAUGAAGCCUAAUAACUUCCCGGAUCUGACGCCGAAUGUACAUUUGUUGGGAUUCAAUCGAAGCUUGUAUUUUCUCAACCUUUCGAACAUCUUUGUCAAAUAUUCAACAUGUUGCUCCUCAUCUGUUGACUUUACAAUCAUGUCGUCCACAUAUACUUCGACUUCUUUGUGAAUCAUGUCAUGAAACAGAGUAGUCAUCCCUCUUUGGUAGGUGGCACCAGCAUUUAUUAAGCCGAAUGGCAUCACUUUAUAGCAGAAAGUACCCCAUGGAGUGAUAAAAGACGUCUUUUCCCUAUCUUCAGGAGACAUUUUGAUCUGAUUGUAACCGGAGAAACCAUCCAUGAAGGAGAACACCUUAGACUGAGCAGUAUUAUCAACGAGCACAUCAAUAUGAGGUAAUGGAAAGUUGUCUUUUGGACUAGCUUUGUUCAGGUCUCUGAAGUCAACACACAUCCGGACUUUACCAUCCUUCUUUGGCACAGGUACAAUAUUGGCAACCCAUUCAGGGUACUCAACUGUCAUGAGGAAACCCGCAUCAAUUUGUUUUUGAACCUCGCUCUUAAUCUUGAGAGCCAUAUCUAGAUGAGUCCUUCUCAAUUUCUGCCUGACGGGAGGACAUUCAGGCUUGGUGGGGAUCCGAUGCUCCACAAUCAUAGGAUCUAGACCUGGCAUAUCUUCAUACGACCAUGCAAAAAUAUCCGGAUAUUCCCGGAGGAGUUGGAUGAUCUUCUUUUUAACCCCUUCCUCUAGAGCAGCACCGAUCUUGAUCUCUUGCUUGUUUUCCUCGGUACCUAUGUUGAUAAGCUCAAUCUCUUCCUGGUGAGGCUGAAUGGCUUUCUUUUCUUGCUCAAGUAACCGAGUGAUCUCAUAUGGUAUGUCAUCACCUUCCUCAUCUUCGGCCUCAUACACUGGGAAUUCAAAAUUCGGAGGGAAUGCAGGGUUACUGUGCCCAACGGGUUUAUUAUAGUUUAAUCUGCGUAAAAUGGUUGGAUGAUUUUAGAAAGGGGUUUUUUAUGCAGAUUUUUGAAAUUAAUAAGAAAAAUACAGAUGUUUUGGUUUUUUCUGGCAUUACCAUUAUUUCCAAGGAAAAAAGGCACUAAAAAAAAGCAGCCGUGAAAGAAACGACAAUUUUUUUUUUUUAUCAACGGCAAUGCCGAAACAAACAUGCCCUUACAGAAAAUAUCACUCUCGCUUUGGGCAGAGCGAGAGGAUUGUUAUUUUGAAAAACAAAAGCACUAAAGCAACAAGACACAUUACUCGGAAACAUGCAUGAUUGAAGGAAUGAUGAUGGCAUCCCAAUUUCUCGCAAUGCCUCCUGGUAUAACAAACAUAGGCCUAUGAUCAAAUCCAGUCGCCUUUUCAGUAAUUGCAUUGACAAACCCAGCACUGUAGAAGGUUCCUGUGGAGACUCCUGAAGUUGGGGAAUAUCCGAGACCCUCUUUGUGCUUAUUCUCAAGGAGUUGUAUUAACUUGCCCCAGCCAGCAGCUUGUCCUUCUUGGAUGUCAUUGACAGUUAGAUAAUUGUCGUUCAUCAGGCUCUGGAUGUCAUUCUGAACAACGUAGCAACCCCAAGGAUUAUGGAAGCAUUCUGGGCAACUGGCAUGAUCAUGGUCAAACAGAGAGGCUUGGCAUAAUUUGAUGUGUAGUGGCACCAGAGGAGUUGUAACAUUACGGACGUCCAGUCCGGGAGCUUCCUCAUAUACCUCAAUCAUGUUCACAGCAGCGUGAUUUGGAAGAGGGUUGUCGAGGACAUGAGGGACGUUGUUCUCAAAAGUCAACUUUCCUUGGUUAAUGAGCUUCUUCACAAUGUAUUUCAAAGCAUAGCAUCCUUCGACAUCAUGACCCAGAGCACCUUGAUGGAAAUCACAUUUGAGGUCAGACCGGAACCUGGGAGGUAACGGAUCAGGUGGAGGCUUCCCCUGUCUGAUUGUGCAGUGCCCUCUGAGAAGUAGAGUCGGGAGCAACUCAGCAUAUAUCAUUGGUAUCAGAGGAAAGGUAGGUCUAGCUUGUUGCUGCUGUCGUUGUUGGUGAACCGGUGGAUGAUUGUUCCUGGGCGGCUAGCAGAGCAGUCAUGGUGUCAUUGGCCUUAGCCAAUUCUUCCCUCAGAGAAGUUAACUCGGUACGGAGCUGAACAUUUUCUUCUUCCAUAGCUACCAAAUUCUUCUUUCUGUACAAUCUAGUCCGAUGGAUUCUGUCAGGUUCGUAGAUUUUUCGAGCACGAGCCACCUUUUGAACUGCGGCAGAAGAACCAGGAGGCAGUGAGCACUUGGAAGCUUUUGUGAUUGAUGAAUGAUGCAUAUGAUGCAUGAUAUGUACAAAUGCAAAUGCAAAAAUGACUCUUUUUGUCAUCGAAGGGUUUUUUAGACAAAUCAGAAACUUUGUAAACAUUAUUUAACAAGAUCUCAAUAGCGUUCAUAUCCACAAAGCUGUCAAGAUUCGGAAAGAGAAUGAGCCCAUAGAUAAGCAAUGCAAGAAUAGCCUCGAGUGCGUCCUGACAAGUAGCUUCGAGAUUAGCUUGCUCAAGUAGAUACUUGGAAGUGAACCCUCGGAUGUGAGACUUGGUAGUAAGAUGCUUGGAGACAUCAGAAGUCUUGAGAUAGGGAUCCUUGGCAAUGACCAGAGGAGUAAGAGAAGUCCCGGGACCGGUGAAAGGCGUCUUCUCGGCUAUAGGUAAACCCACUAGAUUGGAGUAAGCCUCGAGAGUAGGAACCAACUGGAAGUCCGGGAAAGUGAAGCAACGGAAGCUCGGAUCAUAAAAUUGCACUAGAGUGUGCACUAGCUUCUCUUCCACAUCGGUUCGGAGCAAAGUAAGCAAUCCCCCAUACCGGAGUCGGAACCCUGUUUGACUCUUGACCUUGAGUGCCAACUCUCUUAAACUGACCAAAUCCACUUCCUUGAACUUGUAGCACUUAGUCUUCUUCAUACCUGUGAUUAUUUACAAAAAUUUCCAUUUGUUUAAGCCCUUCGAUGAAUGCAUGAAAAAUGUUUAUGUAUGAAUGCAUGUAUGCAUGAUUGUGUUGUUUAGUUACAAAGAACAAGGUGGGUUGAGAUUCAAAGUAACAGGGCCACGGAUGGACACGGCGUCCGGUGAACUAAGGCUUUGGAUAGUAGUAACCAAGGUUCUAACACAGUUCCCAAACUGCAACCUCUCUCACAUAUAUCAUGGUAGUACAGGACGACACCCGUUCCAUGAUUAUUUGUGAGAAGGUCUAGUUUGAGUGUAGUAUCGCGUGACGACUAAAGUUUGAGACAACACUCAAUUUAGCCACCGCACUACGUCCUAAAAGGCUAGGAUGGGUUUGGUAACUACGGUUCAUAGCUUCGUCGAACAAUUGAAAGUGAAGUGCCUAAGCAUGACAACACACGCCGACAAUAUCACCUUCAAAAUGCCUCAGCUAUGUGAGAUUGAUCGCAUAAUCCAAUACACGAGGCAACCCCCGGAUCGAAUUGUCGAUUAUAUCUCUACCUAAACAUAAGUUCACUCAGCCCGGGUAUAGGACUUUUGAUAUUCUCACCCCACACGUCAAAUGAAAGUAAACAAAAUUUUCACAUGUAUGAAUAAUAAAGUAAAACAUAAGCAAAAAGAAAACUAGGUGUGACCCGCUCUAAGAAAAAAAAGUCCCCAGUGAAGUCGCCAUUUCUGUUAUCGCGAUUUCGGGUGUCAAGCCAUUGAUUGGACUUGAACCUUUCAAUCCUCGAUGUUCUCUAUUUUUUUUGGGGAAAGGUAAAUGGAGAGAAACCCUUAAAAAGUUCUAGGUUCGGGGGUCGAUUUCGUUACGGGAAGGUGUUAGGCACCCGUCGCGACUAUAGUAUCCUAUAGGAACCGUUUUCUAAUUUUGCCUAUGCUUUACUUUUUAUAUUUAUGAAAGGAAUGUUGUUUAUCAAGAAUGGAGGGAGAGAUAGUUGAGUUUGAUUUUAUUUAAAAAAUGAUUUUUGAAGAGGAGGAGAGAAGCCGUAAGGCAUAGAAGAAAAAUGUCGAAUUUGAUCUUUAUUUUUAUUUCACAAAAAGGCAUUGGAGUUUUGACUCCAAAGUUUGUUUGAAAAAAUUUAGCCUAUUUCGAAGAAGAAAUUUCACUAGGCGUCGAAUUCCUAAACAUACACCUAAAUCGAUAAUCAUGCAACGUGUGUGCGAGUGUCGGUGCUUGUGUCGGUGUACAUUAUUAGAGAUAAUCCAUAGUCCGUUACAUUUUGUCCUAGUAUACAUUCUAUGGUCUUGCGAAAAUUAAAAGAAAGCUAAACUAAAAUUAUUACAAGCCAUUUGACAUAGAAAUAAAAGUGGGAAGAAACCAAACUAAUGGAGAUAGUGGUGAAAUGGAGAAAUACUCAUGAAAUGAAUGGAACAAAAGAAGUGAGAUGAUUAGUAAAAUAAAGCAUAGAAUAAAAGAAGUGCACAAAAAAUAUUAAGAGGAAAGACAUAAAAGAAACUAAUAAAGUGACAAAAUGUGCAUGAAAAUGGUUAUAAGGCUCUAGCAUAUGUAUGACCCAUAAUCCCUUCAUUAUGGCAUUUUUAGAAGUCUUGCUUUGUGCCAUAAUGUGGAAAAAAAAAUGGGACAUAUUUGAUGCUAAAGUUUAUGGCACACUUUCAAAAUAUUUUGGCACUUUAUUUACUAGUAAAAAUGCAUACUAAUUGCAAGACAAGAAGGGAAAUGAAAUUGAGAUACACAAGCAGCAAGUUAAACAUGUAAUCAGCAACAAACUUAUCACAAAAUUGCAUCCCAAAAAUUCAUAUCACAUGUCAACAUUUCAUGAGGAAUACACUACUAAAAAAUGCACAAAUUUAUGUCUAAAUACACUAAUUAACCAAGAAAUAUCACAUGCUUUUUUUUAUCAUUUUAAAACCAUUGAGAAGUAUAAAAAAAACAUGAAAAUACAUCAAGAAACAUGUGAUAAUUUUUGGAGAUUUUUUAGAGAAAAUUUAAGCAUGCAGAGGUUCAAACAGCAAAGAAAUAUGGUGCAGAUAGCAAGAAAAAAUAGCAAAAAAAGACAAAGAAAGGCCCAAACCCAAGUCUAAAGAUCUGGAAGCACAGGAAGCGUUGGAUUAAUCUGAAGGUUGAGAAAGAAAGGGAAGAACUGAAAAUAAACCGGACCGGUUCAGAGUUCUAUAUAAGUGAUUUGAUUCCGGUUUUUUUCAUUUCCUCCUUUCCUUUCUCUUUCUUCUUUCUUCUAGAGAGAGAAGCUCUCCCCUCUCUCUAGAAACACGGUGCCGGCGAUGAAGAGGGAGGUGGCGGCCGACCCUAGCGCCGCCGCGCCGGAAUUUUUCUCUUUUUUUUUUUUUUUAAAUUUUAUACCAAAAGUUUCGUUUCCUCCUCCUCUACUCAAAUCCGGUGCUAGUUUUAAAAAGGGGUGAGAGAUUCGUCGUAGAUCUACGUUUGAACUUUCGGAAUUUUUUCACUCUUUUUGUAAAAAAAAACUUACGGAUCUAGAUAUCCUUUUCGCUCUAGAGUCCGAAUCCGGCCUCAAAAUUUCAAAAAUCCGAACGUACAAGCCUAGAUCUACAAAUCUUGAUUCGUAACAAACUUUUCACAUGUGUAUAUGCGCGAAAACGAGGGAAAAAAGUGUUACCGUCGUCGUGAAACGGAGAAAAAAAAUCCGAGCCUCCUCUUCUCUCCGCCGCGCGCGCGCGGAUUUGCUCCGGUGGUGCCGCUUUUGCUCGAAAAUCCGGUACGGAUUUGGUGUUGGUGUGAUGAUUCGCGGUGGUUUUGAAUGAUUCCGGUUCGGAUUUGUUGAUUUUGUGAUGAUUUGAGUUGGUUUUGAGUGAAUCCGGUUCGGAUUUGUUGAUUUUGUGAAGAUUUCUUCUUGGUGUUCUUGGAGAAUUUUUGGUGAUUUUCUGUUUUGGAUCUAACUGAUUUUGGAGAGAGAAAGAAAUUUCUGUUUUUGUGAUGUGACUGAUUCUGAUUUUUUUUAUUUGGAUCUGACCCAUCUAUUUAUAGCCUGCCAUGUGUAUUUGUGGGCCAAUGAGAAAAUGCCAUCUGGACUGGGACUGAAGUGUGCGAAAAUUCUGGACAAAAAUGCCCCUGGGACCUUUUCUGCAAAAAAAAAUAAUAAAAAAGGACUGGACAGCAAUUAAAAAUGGACAAAAAAAAUGAAAAUUAAAAGGUUUUGGACUAAAUUGUGAUUUAAAAAUAAAAUUGAACUAAAAAAAGUAAUUUUGACAAACGUAAAGUGAAACUAAAAUUAAAAUCAACAAAAGGACUAAAACGAACCAAUUACUGACAUGAGGUAUUUUAAAAUACCUCCCUGUCGAAAUAUUAAUAGGAAAAGACCAAAAUGCCCCUAGAGACUAAACUGACUCAAACUGACUCAGAUGCAAUUUUUGAAAUGAUUUUUAAACAAAGACUCAACAAUGAUUUGUACAGACAAGUUGAAAAGACUCAGAGGCAAACACAGGGACUAAAAUGGGUUCCACUGCAGGAAAUGACCAAAAUACCCUUUUGUAUGAUUUUUGAAAUAAAAUGCAAGAAAAGUGAUGCGACGUUUCAGAGAGUUCUUAAAUGACUUGUAACAUCAGAAAAGACAGAGGCAGUAAAAUAUGUUUAAAAAAAGAGUAAAGAUUCAGAGUAAAAUAACAGAGAACUGACAAGUAUCAGUGUUACAAAAGAAAUUUGAACGAGUAUUUUUAGGUCCAAAAUCAGGGUAUAACAAGACUCAUGAGUGACUUGAGAUUGCAUAUGGAUGGGGAUAUUUCUCCUGUCAAUGAAUUUUGAGAAACAUCUAAGUUUUUUAGACUUGCUUUCUUCCACAACCAAUUGGGUAGCGAUGUUAUAUUGUUGUUUGACAACAUAAGAGAUUCCAGAUCAUCCAGAUAUCUUAUAUAUGUUGGAAUCUCAACUAAAUUGCAUGAAUCCAAUUGUAAGAUUUGAAUACGAGAAUCGGUCAUAUUUGAAGAACUUUUCCCACUAUACAAUGACAGUUUGUUGAAUGAUAAAUCUAGAAAAACUAGCUUUCUGAGCUUCAGAAACGUGUCAAGCUCUAGCUUUCCAUGCAAAAAAUUAGAGCGUAGGUUCAAGCAUGCUAAAUUGGAAUGAUUCAUUAUCCAUGAUGGAAUUUGACCCUUUAUAUUGCAAUCUGUUGCAUCUAAAUAGUGUAGCUGGGUGAGAUUUGCAAAAGAUAAUGGGAUGGUUUCGAUAUUAAAUUCAUUCAAACCAACAGCCAAGACACUUAGCUUGUUAAGAUUUGCCAAGGAUGUAGAGGGGUCCCCCCUAAAUUUGUUAUCUCUAAGGUAUAUCUCCGUGAGUUGUGUGAGGUUUCCAAUUGAAGAAGGAAUAUACCCAGAAAAAUGGCAAUGUGGAACUGAUAGGAUAAUCAAAGAACUAAGAUUUCGAAUGGAUACUGGGAGUGUGCCAUAGAAACCUGUUUUGUCAAGUAGUAAGUUGGUGAGUGAACUAGAUUGAAACUCAGGCAAACUACCAUUGAGAUUUGGAUUAUAUCCCAAAUCCAAAAUUUUCAAGUUUGGAAGAUGUAAUACUCCAACUGGAAAUUCGCCAUACAGCUCAGAAUUGUAAAGAGAUAGUUUUUUCAACGAAGUUAGAUUUGUGAGUGUGUUUGGUAAAGUAGAUGAAAUAGUCACAAAACUAAGAAAAAGGAUCUCGAGUUUUGUUGAGUUUUGAAUUAUGCUUUUGAGAAUGGACAAUUUGAGUUGCAGCAGAUUUUCUGUCGCCAUGAAGCCUAGAUCAAGAGACAACAACUUAGACAACUGUGAAACUUGUGGUGGAAUUUCUCCGGAAAAUAAACUACGAGAAAGGUUCAGAAAUUUUAGUUGUGAAAGCUCGCCUAUCUUGGAUGGGAUUUGAGAGUAAUUGAAGUCAUUGUCAGAAAGAUCAAGAACUCGAAGGUGCACAAGGCGAAAGAGACUGCUAUUUGCAUCCAUUGUACCAUAGAUUUGGCUGCUCCUAAGAUCGACGUGAAUCACAUGAUCUGUGCGCUCAUGACAUUUAAUGCCAUCCCAUGAGCAGCAAUCUGUGCUGGAAUUCCAAGAUGCUAUUUUUGGAGAACCAUGGGCUAAGUUAUUGAUGACAAAGCCUUCCUUAAAUUGCAACAAGGCAUGGCUUUCAUCACCAUGACACUUUGGAUGAAUUUGAGGAAAACAUGUAGUAAAUGUGAAAGAGAAAAGUGAAUAAAGGAAAAGAAAUUUUAGUAACAAAACAAGAGACCUGACAAACACCAUUUUAUCUUCCACAUAUUUCAUUUUCUGUCCAUUUAUGGUUUUCGCUUUCUAAUUUCAGUACAUUUGUCUCUAUUUGACUCAGCAAUUUCCUCUGAUUUUCUUCCUACUUGCAAUUUUGGAAAACAAUUUAAUAUUUUGACUUAGUCAAUUAUUCCUGUGCAAUUUUAUUUCGUAUUAGACAACAAUUUGUUUUUCCCUUUCAUAUACUCAAUAUUUUAUUAUUUGGUUGUAUGCAUAAAAACUUUAAUCUAGAACUGACUAUCAAUUUUAAGGCAUUGGAGCCUUCCAUGCAUUACCAAGAAGGCUACAUCAUUAAAUACUAAAUUGCUUUUAUUAUCUUUGAGAUUUCAUCUUAAUUGUUGAUAAUGAUAUUUCCAACGAAAUGAGUUAAGUUUUCACGUUCACAACAAAAACAACAUGAAAUUUUAUAAGGAUAAUGAUUUUUUAGUGCAAAACACCUUAAACGAAAUUCAACGAAGAGUUAUAACAUUAGUUUUGUUUCCAUCCAUCCAUCCAUGUAUUCCUUUAAAUGGAACUAUUUUAGUAUUAUUUUUAAUUAAAAAAAUAAUUUUGAUCGUAACUACCCCGUGUAUUCCGUAAACUGGGUGUAAAGUUAUUAGCUUCAAAUUAAAAAGGUACAAGUAUAGUGCAUCCCUUGCACACAUUCGUCACUUUUCGCACAAAAAGUUUUGCACCAUAUAUCAUUGUCCUUUUUAUAAUUGUAAAUUGGAUAUCCAAAAAUCGAUCCAAUCUAAACAUUUAGUUGGAUCAGAUUUUUGUCACAACAAAUUUCUUAAUCCCUAAUAUGCAUCAUUGAGAGAUUUUUUUGAAGGAAUGCAUAAUUGAGAGAUGUUAUGCAUCAUUGAGAGAUAAUCACCAAAGUUUCAAAUUAUGAGAAAUCUUUAGUACAAUUCCAUGUAUUCUCUGGUGAACUAAAAAAUGCUUAGAUUAGAUGGCACGAGUCUAUUCUAACUUCAUCAAGGUCCUGGGUUCGAAUCUAGCUAUGUUUGGGCAUGCAGUGUUAAAAACUUUAGGGAGAGUUUUCCUCCCAUUUGGGGGAGGAUUAGUCUUCUUCGAAGUUUCGCGCGUGAAAGAUACCCAGUUUACACACAAAAAAUGUAUUCUCUGGUGAAAAUAUGGGAGAUUAAUUUCUUAGUAGUGAAGGCAACGUGAAAGAAAAGUAGCAUAGCAUCCCAAUAAUUCUAGCAUAUCUCCCUAGUGUGGUAUAUGCAAGGACUAUAGCAUAGUUCACUAGUUGUAUUUGCCCUCUGAAAAAAUGUGGUAAUCUUCCUACUCCUUGGCCCUUUGAAAGACAUUAAGAAAGCAAUACCUACUUGCUUAGACCAAUCUGUCAAAGUUUAUUCCAUAUGAAAAUUUAUUACAAAUAUCACAAUUCACAACAUUCAAAUUCAAUAUAAGCGUUUUUAAAUCUGAACAUAAUUUAAUCAAAUUUGACAAAUGAUCUCCCAUCUAUAUUACAGAAGAUUUCACCAGCAUAAGAUUUAUUUGUAUCACAAUCUUCUAACCAGUGACUGUCUAGUACAAGCCAUAACAAUGAGUAAUUAGACUAAAAUAUAAAUACAACACUGUCAUGAACUCUCGACUUUUGAUGCUGAGCCACACAUUCUGAAAUCCACAUAAGAUUUCUGAUCUCCUGCUCCCUUAACCUCAUAUAGGCGAAGAACACAACAUAGUGAAACUGAAAACAUAGUCAAAUUAGGAUGGCUUAGUGAUGAAUAAGAUAUAAGAACACUAUACGAAAACAUUUAUAAUUAAGCAAAUGAAUUUCCUUCCAGCUUAAUAUUAUGAUAUUCUGAACUGUUAAAAAAACAAACCUGUUGCUCAAAUGCUAAGCAAUUCUUCUUGACUUCCUCCUCAUAGAUUUCCUUCCUUGUCAAGCAUCUGACUCUCUCCAUACGAUAACUUAUCAAAGAUGGAUUGAUAAGGAGGGCAUUUUUCCAUAACAGCACGAACCUACACGAGCAACCAUUUAAGAGAAUUAAGGCUCAAAAAGCAAUACUAAAAGAAAUAAACUAGAAAUCAAUUGAUGUUAUGGACAACUAUUAUAAUUCUCAAGUAUUUCAGGGCCGGUGCCAGCAAGAAAUUGGCAGCCAAAAGCAACUAAAAAUACAAAUGAAGUAACAGGCAAUCGAUGAAAGUUCUCAAAAAAUGAAAUGAAAGUUUCAAAGAGAGGUUAAGGUCAUACAACAGAACUUAAACCAAGGAUAAGAGGAAUAAUAUAGUUGCAACAUAUUACAUUGACAUGGCUACUAAUUUAGAAACAACUCUACCACCCUAAGAAACACAAAUUGAAAGACGGAAAACACAGACAGCAAGUUAUGGUAAUAUUCACAGCCCUCCUAUCGGCCUCAAAAGCUAGAAGGUCAGACAUUAUCUCAGCAGUAGCACCACCAAGUUUCUGUUUGUGAAUAACAUUGAAGACGUUGAUGAAAGUCAGGGGGAAAUCACAAGGGAAUACAAAUAAAUAGCUGACAAAAAAGAGAGUUGGACACUUCACCUGACAAAAAAGAGAGUUGGACACUUCACCUGACAAAAUCUGUAAAAGUCUUCAAGGUAUGCCUUGUAAAGAGUGUUCCUCAUUAUUUUGAUGUUCAUGUCAUCCAAGUCCUGAAAAUUAACCAAAACCAUGAGCACAUACAUCAAAAAAAUAAACCAAUUUCAUAUAAACAUAUUAGGUUAAAACGGAAAUUAUAAACUAUUAAAGUCAGUGAUGCCAUUGCAUAUAAUAUCAAAGUAUUGUCUUCCAGUGCCUUUCAGUUUUUGAUAAUUUUACAUUACAUUUUUUUAUUACAAUCUUUUUUUCUUACAACAAACAAUCUAUAUUGUAUAAUAAUUAGAGGGUAGAUAUAGAUAAUUUUCAGUUUCUGCAAUAGAACAACAAUUCUAUCAUGUGACCAUAUCUGCAGAGUAAAAAUGAAAAUACAUUCAUUUCAGAUUUUCUUACACACACAAUAAUGAUUUGAGAAAAUGAAAGGAAUGAAAUAUAACUGCAUGUCCGACACCAAACACGUUUUAAAUCUGAAGUUUCUGGUGUUACAUAGACUUGUGCUUCUAGUAAAUACACUGACAGAGCAAACAGAAAAUGCAAAGUUCAGAUACAUGAUAUAUUCUAAAAAUGUUGACAACGGUUCUGUAGCUUGGCAUGGCAUAUGCUUGACAAUGGUUUUGGAUGGUACUACAUCAUAUCAUUGAGUAUACACCCUUGUACUAAUAAUACACUGAAAAUUGAAUAAAUAAUUUAGGAAAUGUUUAUAAUUAUUAAACAAUCAAUUAAUCAAGAAACGAUAAUGUUGAGAACAAAUUGAGAUCAAAUUAAUCCGAAAAACAAAAAUGCCAAGUUAUGGAGAUAAGGAUCCUAGAAGAGACAUGCAUCUUGAUGUCAUCCUAACGCUGUUAAUACGCUUAUCUCUUUGUUCUUUAAAGCAAAUAUUCUACCAUUAGAUUUCAGCAUAAUGUUAGAGGGUUUUGGGUUACCAUAUGUUCAGUACGAAGUUUCCACUGUCGUUUACAAGUAACUAAUCUCCGUAGAAAAACUUGUGGUCAAACAAAGUGAGUUAUGAAUCAAAAUAAAGUGGGUCAAUCAAGUGUUUCACAUAUCAAUAUAAAUUUUUUGGAUUCUUAGUUUAGCCACAAUUUUAUGAAUUUAAUUUCACGUUUUCUUUCAAAUUCAAUUUGUUUUAGGCUGCAACCUAAAGAGAUCUAUCUACCUUGUUUGAUUUCUCAACACUAUCGGAUUCAGACCGCUAGGCACAUUACUCAUUUUGCUUCUUCUUAUGUUUAUGCAUUGAUGAUUACUUUUUUAUUUACUACUUUAUUCAGAGGCAUAUAUCAAUUACUAAAUUGGACCGAAGUUAAGCACCUUUAAUCAGUAAAGGAGACAGUCAUUUAUUUGUUUCUUUUUCUUCCUAAUUGGCUUAAUCCCUUCACUUAUAGACUCUCUUGAUAUCCUUAUACAUUUAAUGUAGAAAUUGAUUAAAUAUUGCAUCAUCUAGAAUGACUUCAAUGUUGGAGUAAAAAUAACUAGCAGGAAAAGAACACUAUAAAUAACAAUUCAAUUAUAGGCCACUAGAAUUAUACUUUUUGGGUUUUGAGAUUAAACCUCAUUGAAAUACCAAAAUAUAAUUCAAAGAAUGCUCUUGCUAUAAAUACAUAGAGUUUUUGGUGUUCAAACAACCUUUAGUUCAUAAUAUUAUAAGAACAAAAGGAAACUAAAGCAAAUAGAGAGGACUUAGAUGUUUAUUGCUUUGAAACUCCAGCAAAAAGUCCACCGCCAUACCCAAUCGGAACUGCUUUCCGUUCUACCCUGAACGAAUGUUGAGAGAAAGAUCUAGUGCUUCAAGGUUAGUUGUUUGAGAAGUUGAGCAAAACGAAACCUUUCAAGUCGCCUAUGACUUUUGGUAUCUCAUGGAGCUUUCUAGUUGAGCAAAGCUUGCAUGAUUAUUUUUCCUUGAAAUAUCAAUUGCAAUUGUAGUGCAAAACUCUUGGAGCCUAUCUAGAUGAUGAAGUCUUCCUUAUUGAUUCAAAAAGAUAAAGUCUUCCUUAAAUUGCAACAAGGUAUGGCUUCAUCUAUACGACACUUUGGUUGAAUUAAAGGAAAAACAUGUAGUAAUUAUGAAAGAGAACAAUGAGUAAAGGAAAAGAAACUGGACUAAAAAAACAAGAGACCACAGAAACACCAUUCUAUCUUAAUCUUUUAAACUGAAACAUUGAGAUAAAAUACUAGGCAUAUAUUAUUGAUAAUAAUUUUCAGGGAUGUUCAUCAAACUGAUUAGGAUUAAGUAGGACUUCUUCGUUCCGAUUUUCACAAUUUAAUUGCAGAACUAUUUUGUUUUUGUUAGGUUAAAUUGCUUAUAGUCAAUAUUCUUUGUGUUCUACUUUGCCUCUCUCAGUCAUCAAUGGAAAAUACUUUUGCUCCUUCAUGAAUGUCAUAAUUUUUUUUCAUUACUGGAAAAUAUUUUUGCUACUUCAAGAAAGGCUGUAAAUUGAUAACUUAAGGCAUAUAAGUUGUGGUAAAAGGAAACUAAAACAAAUAAGAACCAUACAAAGGAAACUCUUACAAUAUGCAAUUACAAGAAAACUCUUACAAUAUGCAAUUACAAGAACAGAAGAUAACUCUUACAAUAUGCAAUUACAAUUAUAAUUGCUUUUACAUAAAAUGGAAGACUAAGAUGUUUAUUGAGUUUGGACCCAAAAAAACACUCACUUAUGUCUCUUAAAAAUCUUAUUAAGCAAAAUUAUAACUGAAACGCCAAGGUAAUCUCUAUACCAUGUGUGAGAGUUAACUUAAAAUCAGAAUUCUGGAGUAUCGCGCCACGAUUGGUGAAGCAAAAUUCUGAGGAAGUUUCUGGAAAUUUCGUACCACGAUGGCUCCGUAUCGUGGCACGAUGGUCGCGCUGAAGAUAUUUUUAAAACGUAUUUUUUAGCAAGAUUUGUUUCAGUUUUUUAAGGGUUACUCUCCACUAUAAAUACAAGCCUUGAAAAACAAGGUUUAGAAGCCAACAUACAAACUAGGGUUUAUAGAGAUUUUCUCUUGGCAACAACUCUAGGGUUGGGAUUGUUGUUGAUUCACCUUGGACAAAACACUAUUAGGAUUGAGUCUCUUGGUCACGGGAAGAGGCUGGGACUUGGGUAGAAUUAGGUUUGAAGACUGAUUCUUGUAACUCAAUAUCUCUUUGUAAAGAAACUCAUAUCAUUAUAGUGGAUCGGAGAGCUGCUCUCUCCCCCAGACUAGGUCAUCAUUAGACCGAAUUGGGUAAACAAAUUCUUGUGUUCAUCUUCUUCUUCCUUUUAUCUCUUGCUGUUUUACUUUUGUUUGGAUUAAUUGCUAUCCACUUGAUUUGAUUGCUUGGUAUUAAUUUGCUCCACACAUCAAGUUUAUAUUGGUGUGUUUCUCAACGAAUUCACAACACCAUGCAAAUACCUGCAGAAAGUAAGUGUUUCCCAAUGCCACUCCAGCAACAAGUCCACCGCCAUAUCCAAUCAGAACUACUGUCCAGUAUAAUUCAAUGAAAGAUUUUGAGUCGUCAUCAUCAUCAUCAGAAGUAGAAGGCCCUGCAGGAUCUAUACACUUCUUUAACAGCUGAUCCCCACCUUUGAAUGUAGAAAACUGAUUAUUUUGUGGUAUAGGACCUGUAAGAUUGUUAAAUGACACAUUUAAGUAUUCCAAAAAGGUGAUUUGUGCCAACUGUUGGGGAAUUUUCCCUGAAAGACUGUUGAGAGAAAGAUCUAGUGCUUCAAGGUUUGAAAGCUUCCCUAAGGAAGAUGGAAUGCUGCCAAUAAGCAUAUUAUUUGACAAGUUUAGCAAAACAAGACCCUUUAAUUCGCCUAUCAUUUGUGGUAUCUCUCCGCUGAUUUUGUUGCUUGAAAUAUCAAUGGCUAUCAAGCUGUAAAAUUUUUGAAGCUUCUCAUAAACCCUGGCCAGUCCUUUGUUUGACAUUGUGAAAGAAUAAAACUUUUCUUCUAACGUAUGAUAUUUUCCUGCAUAGUUCGAUCUUAAGUAAGACUCGGUACUGUAACUGACUUGCAUUGGAAGUAUUCAUUGCUUUCCAACUUUGGAUCAUUUCUGUUGGAAAACUGCCAGAGAAAUCAUUGUGAGAAAGGUCAAGAAUGUGAAGUAUGGAAAAUGUGCAUGUCAUGUUGCCAGAGCACCUAAUGUCUCCAUGGAAUUCAUUGUUACUUAAAGACAAUACCUUCAACUCGGGUAACUCUCCCAUCCAGAAUGGAAAUGAAUCAUUGAUGUUGUUAUAACUAACAUCAAAGAAUUCCAGCCUUCUAUUGUUGACCAAAGCCCUUGGCAACUGACCCUGCAGAUUGUUGUUGCUAAGAUCAAUCUGUUGAAGGGAAUUUCCUAUCAUGUAUGUUUGAGGAAUGAGGCCAGAUAAUUUAUUCCCUUUUAGAUCCAGACUUUAUAAAUAUUGGCUAAAGUUCCCUAGACAUGAAGGAACAUUGCCGCUUAAGUUGUUGAACGAUAAAUCAAGUUGUGUGAGUGAUUUGAGAUUGCAUAUGGAUGGGGAUAUUUCUCCUGUCAAUGAAUUGUGGUUAGUGAGUGUAUUUAAUGCUUGAAUUCCAAGAUGUUGUUUUUGGAUAACUGAGAGGGUAAUGUUUGUCUUUUUAAUAUUAGUGAGUGUAUUUAAUGCUUAACAUUUGUUUACGAUGCUGUAUUUGUAAAAAUAUUCAAAAAACUUACAUUAAUUAAUAAUUAUAUUGGUUAAGAUGUUUUUUGGUUUUUCUUCUUAUAAUAAGGACACGAGAGAGUAUUUAUUUGUUCCUAUUCCUUCCCAAUUGGCGUAAGCCCUUCUAUUUGAGACUCUCUUGAUAACAUUUAUAUAGAAACAUAGGACAGGAAAGUCAUAACCAUAGGAGAGAGAUGUAGACCUUAUUGAUGCACAUGAAGUAACUUUGUGUAUUAAAUGAAAAGAAUGGUAAAUCGACGUACUUGAGUUUCAUAUUUAUAGGACUCUAUGACACUCAUCAUUUGUAACUCAAAUCUGAAUUACAACUAAUUUACAACCAAUGAGGCAGGGACAUCUCUAGCAUUAGCCGUGUCGCGGUGUCCAGCACACAUCGGUGUCUGAUACUCAUACCGAUGUCCUAAAAUAGUUUUUAUUUUUUAUUUUUGCUUUGACACUUCUUUCGAGUUCUUUGCUAAUGCUCACAACCAAAUCAUCCCUUCAUUUCUUUUUUCUGUUAAAAGAAAAUUGAAUAUAGGGCACCUGAGAUAAAUAGAGUGUUGGGUUUACGUGCUCCUGAGGUUAUUAAUGUUCAAAGAAGAAGAACACUACAUGAAUUGCCACACUUUGAUGGCUGGGAUGAUCUUGUGUCUGGGUUUCAAAUCUGAAAUGCCACUCAAGAAGGUAUUUACACUACUAUCAAUCUUGUAUGAAAAUGAAGUGAUUAGUUCUGGUGAGUUAAUUGCUUCAAACUUUAAGGAAAUCGUGGAUUCCAAACAUACUACACUACACUGGGACAUAACUGUCUGAUAAAUCUGCUUUGUGAACAAGAGAAGGUUCAAGUAGAAGCAAAUGAUAUUUUUGUGAAUUCAAAGGAGCCUAUUAAAUGACAAAGCAAUGUUGGUUUAUGAAAUGUACAUGCAAGAAGGAAGGACGAAAUCAAAGGGCACAUGAGGAGAAACCUCAGAUGAUGGAGGAGGAUCCUAUUUCACAAGCUCCACAUAAUCAUCCCGCCCACCUAUUCUUGAAGAUUAUAUGUAUGUGAUGCGAUGUGAUGGAAAACUAGGCUCAGGAUGCUUCUUCUCAACUAUACAUUGACCCUCUUUACUUUUCUCAAUGAUUCACGGAGGCAGCCAACCAACACCGCUAGAGACCUCGUAGAGGAAAUGCUUAACAGAGGUUUGGGAUUGAAGAGAAUAUGAGAGCCGAUAUCCAUUAGUAGAGGGGCAAGGCAGCUGAGAGAAAAAAAACAAUUGCAGGCUGACUUUUACAUGGUCAGAGGUGAGGAUCAUGAGAAUUUGGCGCUUGCCCCACCAGAGGAUUUCAUGUAAUCUGGGCACAUUGUCUAGCCCAUUUUCGAUCUUUUAUUUUCUUUUCUAUUUUCAGUAAUUUAUUUUGAUUUUGAGUUAAAACUAGGUGUUGCAAGUGUUUAUUUGGAUUUCAGUUGUAUUCUCCUAUCUUCUGUUCUGCAAUGUUCUUAUUUAUUAUUAAUGAAUUUUCUUGUUUUUCAAAUUUACUAGUUUAGUAAAAAUCAUUUCACCAUUAGUACUUCUAAAGUUCAUAAGGAGGAAGAUCCUUGCAUUGAUAUUCAGCGUUUGGAAUGAUUAGGUGGCUACAACUUCUGGAAAAUCUUAGCUUGUGAGGUUUGAGCCAAAAAAAAAUUCAAUUUGUUUCUACUUAUACAAUUGUUCCAUGCAACUGUCAUUUUUAGAACCUUUGAACUUGCAGCCUUUGUUAAGGAAAACUUAAGCUUUAGGUUAGAUCAUUUUGGUCAGUGACAAACUGCAUAACAAGCCUAGAGACCUUAGGAGAUUUUGACCCAAUUUCGUGUUGGAGUUAGGCAAUGUUAUUUUUUUUUUCUAUGCUUAAUUUCAAGUUUAGGGUUGCAGUUAGAACUAGCAAUGUUUAUGUUUGGGGUAGGGGUAGCAGAGAACCCAAGAGAUCACAAUGUUUUUCAAUUUUUUUUAAAUAUUGGACUAAUAUGUUUAUUGCUUUGGACUCAUAUGACCCUUUUAAGCUAUAACAUAAAAACAACUCACUAAUGUCUCUUAAAAAUCUUAUUAAGAAAUAAUGUAAAUGAAACGCCAAGGUAAUCUCUACACCAUUCAAAUACCUGCGGAAAGUAAGUGUUUCCCAAUGCAAAUCCAGCAACAAGUCCACCGCCAUAUCCAAUCAGAAGAACAGUCCAGUCUAAUUCAAAGAAAGAUUCCGAGUCGUCAUCAUCAACAUCAGAAGUAGAAGGCCCUCCAUGAUCUAUACACUUCUUCAACAACUGAUCCCCAUACAAACCUUGGUUACCCUCAAAUGAAUCAUCUUUGAAUGUAGAAAACUGAUUAUUUUGUGGUAUAGGACCUGUGAGAUUGUUAAAGGACACAUUUAAGUACUCCAAAAAGGUGAUUUCUGCCAACUGUUGGGGAAUUUUUCCUGAAAGACUGUUGAGAGAAAGAUCUAGUGCUUCAAGGUUUGAAAGAUUCCCUAAGGAAGAUGGUAUGCUGCCAAUAAGGUGGUUAUUUGACAAGUUGAGUAAAACAAGUCCCUUCAACUCGCCUAUAACAUGUGGUAUCUCUCCACUGAUUUUGUUGCUUGAAAUAUCAAUGGCUAUUAAGCUGUAGAAAUUUUGAAGCUUCUCAUAAACCCUUGCAAACCCUUUGUUUGACAUUGUGAAUGUAUAAAACAUAUUUUGUGUUGUAUGAAUUGGUCCUGCACUGUUCAAUGUCGAGUAAGAUUCAUACUGUAAUUGACUUGUGUUGGUAGUUUUCAUUGUUUUCCAUCCUUGGAUCAUUUCUGAUGGAAAACUUCCAGAGAAUUCAUUGUGAGAAAGGUCAAUGAUGUGAAGCUUGGGAAAUGUGCAUGUCAUGUUGCCAGAGCACCUAAUGUCUCCAUGGAAUGCAUUGUUACUUAAAGACAAUACCUUCAACUCGGGUAAAUCUUUCACCCUGCAGAUUGUUGUUGUUGAAAUCAAUCAUCUGAAGGGAACUUCCUAUCAUGUAUGUUUGAGGAAUGAGGCCAGACAAUUUAUUCCCUUUUAGCAUUAUAUUUUCUAAAGAUUGGCUAAAGUUACCCAGACAUGAAGGAAUGUUGCCGCUUAAGUUGUUGAUCGAUAAAUCAAGAGUCACGAGUGAUUUGAGAUUGCAUAUGGAUGGGGGUAUUUCUCCUGUCAAUGAAUUGUGGGAAACAAGUAAGCUUAUUAGACUUGCUUUUUUCCACAACCAAUUGGGCAGCAAUGUCAUAUUGUUGUUUGACAACAUAAGAAAUUCCAGAUCAGGCAUGUCUCUUAUAAAUGUUGGAAUCUCAACUAAAUUGCAUGAAGCCAAUUGUAAGACUCGAAUUUGAGAAUCGGUCCUAUGGGAAGAACUUUUUCCACUAUACAAUGACAAUUUGUUGAAUGAUAAAUCUAGAAAAACUAGCUUUUUGAGGUUCAGAAAUGUGUCAAGCUCUAGCUUUCCAUGCAAAAAAUUAGAGCGUAGGCUCAAGUAAGCUAAAUUUGCUAGAUUCAUUAUCCAUGAUGGAAUUUCACCCUUUAUAUUGCUAUUUGUUGCACCUAGAAGUUCUAGUUGGGUGAGAUUUGCAAAAGAUAAUGGGAUGUCACUGCCAAUAUUGACUGAGGAUAUAUCCAAGGAAGUUAAUGAUGAGAGCUUACCGACCCAUGAGAUGGUCUCAAUAGUAAAUUCAUUCCAAGCAACACUCAACAUGCUUAGUUGGGUAAUAUUUGCCAAGGAUGCAGAAGGGUCACCCCUAAAUUUGUUAUUAUCAAGGUAUAUCCCCCUGAGUUGUGUGAGGUUGCCAAGUGAAGUAGGAAUAUUUCCAAAAAAAUGGCAUUCUGGAAUUGAUAGAAUAACUAAAGAAUUAAGCUUUCCAAUGGAUACUGGCAGUGCACCAGAGAAACCUGUAUGAUCAAGUGCUAACCUGGUGAGUGAACUAGACUGAAACUCAGGCAAACUACCAUUGAGAUUUGGAUUAUAUCUCAAAUCCAGAAGUUCCAAGUUUGGAAGAUGAAAUACUCCAACUGGAAACUCUCCAUACAAUUCAGAAUUGUAUAGAGACAGUGCUUUCAACGAAGUUAGAUUUGUGAGUGUAUCUGGUAAAGUAGAUGAAAUUGUUACAUGACUAAGAUGAAGGGUCUCAAGUUUUGUUGAGUUUUGAAUUAUGCUUUUGAGACUGGAUAAUUUGAGUUGCAGCAGAUUGUCUGUAGCUCUGAAGCCUAGAUCAAGAGACAACAACUUGGACAACUGUGAAACUUGUGGUGGAAUUUCUCCAGAAAAGAAGCUCAGGGAAAGGUUCAGAUGUUUUAAUUGUGAAAGCUCACCUAUCUUGGAUGGGAUUUGAGAGUAAUUGAAGUCAUUGUCAGAAAGAUCAAGAACUCGAAGGUGCACAAGGCGAAAGAGACUGCUAUUUGCAUCCAUUGUACCAUAGAGUUGGCUGCUACUAAGAUCAAUGUGAAUCACAUGGUCUGUGUGCUCAUGACAUUUAAUGCCAUCCCAUGAGCAACAAUCUGUGCUGGAAUUCCAAGAUGAUGUUUUAGGAUAACCAAGAAGAUCAUCAGAGGCUAAGUUAUUGAUGACAAAGCCUUCCUUAAAUUGCAACAAGGCAUGGCUUUCAUAUUGAUGACACUUUGGCUGAAUUUGAGGAAAACAUGUAGUAAAUGUGAAAGUGAAAAGUGAAUACAGGAAAAGAAAUUUUAGUAACAAAGCAAGAGACCUGACAAACACCAUUGUAUAUUUUAAUAUUUUGAACUGAAUGUUUUGGAUGAAAUGCUAGACACAUAGUAAGUGAUUCUUAUAGUAAAUGAAAAUGUUUUGUAGUGAAUUUGAUUAUCAUUGACCGUGCAUUUUGGUUUAGGACUAACAUCAUAAGUCUAUAUCUUGGCUCAGCCCAUUGGAGAGGCUAACUUGAUCAACUCCAAAAAUACAAGACUUUGAUGUAACAUAAUAUAAUCUCUAAUCAAAUUAUGUGGGCCAAUCCAAUACACAAGGUCUAUUUGAUGUUUUAUCAUGUAGUGAGGCUUUCUUAUCUUCCACAAAUUUCAUUUUCUGUCCAUUUAUGGUUUUUGCCUUCUAAUUUCAGUACAUUUGUCUCGAUUGUUUGACUCAGCAAUUUCCUCUAAGUUUCUUGCUACUUGCAUCUUUGGAAAACAAUUUAAUAUUUAGACUUAGUCAAUUGUUCCAGUGGAAUUUUAUUAUCUCAACAUUUUAUUAUUUGGUUGUAUGCAUAGAACUUUAAUCUAGAACUGAGUAUCCAUUUAAGAGCUUGCACAAAAAUAUUGAAUAUAAUUUUAAAAAGUUAAGCAUGCGUAAUUGAAAAAACUUCAGUUUUAUAUAAUAUGUUCAGUAGUAAAAACUUCAGUUUUAUCUUGAUCUUGUCAAAAUGCAGUUUUAUCUGUCAUUGUUUAGAAUCAUCCAUUAAAAUUAUAUAAUAAAAAAAUUUGUACAGUCCUAAUGUAUACUUUUGAAAUUUAACAAGUCUUUUCUUUAUGUUAAGGUCAGUCUUCUAGAAGUACAGGUUAAGGUCAUAUAACAACACUUAAAUCAAAAAUAAGAAAAAUAAUAUAGUUGUAGCAUAUUACACUGACUUGGAUAAUAAUAACAACAAAUUUACCAACCUGAGAAACACAAUCUACAAGGUCUAAAGAAGCAUACAAAUUGAAAGAGGAAAAACACAGUUUAUCUAACUAUGUAUUAACCUAACAUAUCACACAACUGAGAUGCAUAUCAUAGCUGAUCAAUGUCCUCACAGACAGCAAGUUCCUCAUGACCAUAUGGAUAGCUGUUUAAAAUAAGUCAACCAUUAGUAAAAGAAGUGUCAAAAAGCAGUAUAUUGAUUUUAUUUUUCUUUUUUUAAAAAUAUAUAGCUGAAAGAUUAGAGCUUACAACAAACCGAAGUUGGAGUACAAUUUCCUACGGUCAUCUUCGGUAAGCUCAGUACCAAUGCUGCACAAAGCGGAAACCAUGAGAUGCUAGUUAUGUGGAUGUCCAGAUAAACAAAAAGAUUAUACAAAGACUGGUUAGUAAUUUUUACCUAGUUAUGGUAAUAUUAACAGCCCUUCAAUCAGCCUCAAAAGCUAGAAUGUCGGACAUUAUCUCAGCAGUAGCACCACCAAGUUUCUGUUUGUGAAUAAAAUUUAAGUUGAUGAAAUUCGGGUUAGAUGAUUUACCUCUGAUGUAAUGCACUCAGAGAAGUAUGGAGCCAGAGGAGUGUCAACAAGAACCAGCCUGUAAAGCUCCCGCAUAUUCUGAGCAACUGCCAGAGUUGCAAUGCUGAGGAGAAUCCCACCGAAAAGAAGAAAAAACAGAAGUAAAAUCAAUAUUCUAUGUGCCGUAACUAAGGUCUCUUUCUAGGCUAAAAAAAGUUCAAUAUAUAUAGGCUCAAAGUCUUUCUAGUUUGGUAAUAGAGAAAAAAAAGAUAUGUAGUUUGAUGAAUGUCUCUUUCUUUGCAUUCCCCUCAAUCACAAUGCUUUCAAACAUCCGUAACUAAGGUUGACUUCAGCCCUGGUGUUAGGAACAAGUACUUGAGCUUUGAAAUCAACUUUUAUUGGAUUGCUUCUUCAAAAAAAAAACUUUUAAUGGAUUGGAAGAACUAAAAAGAAACUGAUGCAAUUCAAAAGGUAAAACGAAUUUCAAAAUCAGCAUUACAAAAAGUCAUCAUAAUGUAUAUACCUAGGACUCAGUAGAAAUUUAAAAAUUGAUUGAAUUUUUGAAAUAAUUAAAAGACUAGACUUGUGGGUUGUCUCCCAAGAAACGCGUGUUUAACAUCUCGAGCUUGACGAACCAACACUCUUGUCAGGGUGGAUAUUUAAACAUGUAAUCAACAAUGCUAUUCUUUUUCUUCUUUGUGAGAAGAAUGUUGAUACACUUUGCAUAAGGUAUUAGUCUCACUUGUUCAAAGUUUAUGAACCUUUUCCACCUAUUUUUCCAUUCGUUCUUUCUCUUCUAUGGUGUUUUGUUUUAAGAGAUGUGAUUGAUGCUUGUCCACACCUUAUCUUUCUCCAAAUGAUAGAAUUCACCGGUCACCUCAAUCUGAAUCCAGCCCUUGUCAGUUGUUUUUUAUCACCGAGAAUCAUCAUCAUUGAAUUGCAUUGUGUCGAACACAUUGUUGGAUACUUGCUCAUCAAAUUCCGCUUUUGCUUUCAAAUUCAACUAGUUUUGAUUGUAAACCUAAAGAGAUCAAUCUACUUUGUUUGAUUUCUCAUCACUAUCAGAUUCAAACCAGGUAGCCAUUUACCUAUUUUUCUUCUUCUCAUGUUCAUGCACCAAAGAUUAAUUUUUUAUUUUAAUGGUUAUUUACUACUUUAUUCAAAGGUAUAUAAGUUGCUAAAUUGUAUUUUGUUUCACAUUGCAGUUGAUUAUAACUAAACAUUUGUAUUCUUGGUAUCUGAAAAGCAGAUUCAUCUUUGUCUGUAUUAGUUAUCCAUUAUUGCAUUUGUUUGUCACUUAAGUUGUUUUUUUUUGCUCUAAAGUCAACUUCCAUAAAAAAUGCUUCAUUUUGCUACCAUAGUAUACAUCAUAUAAUCACUUUUUUUUUUCUGCAAUGCCACCAGCCCAAAGACCUAACAGGUCACAUUUUUCCGCAUCACCAAAACUACUUUAUUUCAUACCAACAACAAUUAGUAUACAUACAAAGCAUACUCUUAGGCUUUGUUUGCGAGUUUUGAGGGGAAGGAAAGGAAAGGCUAAGGAGGGGAAGGGAAGGAAAGGGAGGGAAGGGAGAAAGGAGGGAAAACCUUCCCCUUGUUUGGGAGUUAAAAAGCCAACAAGGAAAGGAGAUGGAGGACUUAUGUUAUAAUUUUACUAUUUUACCCUUUUUCCUCUUAAAAUCAAUAUAUUGUUAUACUUCGUAAUUUAACUUUUAAUUUAUUCAAAACAACUUAUCGCAUGAAAAACAAAUUAUUAAGAUCUAUUUUAAAAAACAACUUAUUUAUAAAAAAAAAAAAAAAAAAAAAAAACUUAUUACAAUCACUUUUUAAAAACAACUUACUUAUACAAAACAACUUAUUACGACCUCUUUUUAAAAAUAGCUUAUCUUAUGAAAAACAAAUUAUUAAGAUCUUUUUUUAAAAAACAACUUAUUCAAAAUAGCUAAUUUAUACAAAACAGCUUAUUAUGACCUCUUUUCAGAAAAACAGCUUAUUCAAAACAGCUUAAUACAAUCUCUUAUUCAAAAACAACUUAUCCAAAAUAGUUUAUCUAUAUAAAACAGCUUAUUACGACCUCUUUUCAAAAAACAACUUGUUCAAAACAGCUUAUUUAUACAAAACAACUUAUUCAAAACAGCUUAAUACGAUCUCUUUUUCAAAAACAGCUUAUUCAAAACAGCUUAUUUAUACAAAAUAGCUUAUUACGACCUCAUUUUCAAAAACCGCUUAUUCAAAACAACUUAUUUAUACAAAACAGCUUAUUACGACAUCAUUUUCAAAAACAGCUUAUUCAAAACAGCUUAUUUAUACAAAACAGCUUAUUAUGACCUCAUUUUUAAAAAUCGCUUAUUCAAAACAACUUAUUUAUACAAAACAGCUUAAUAUGACCUCAUUUUCAAAAACAGCUUAUUCAAAACAACUUAUUAUGCAAAACAGCUUAAUACAAUCUCUUUUACUAAAACAGCUUAUUCAAAAUAGCUUAUUUAUAUAAAACAGCUUAUUACGACCUCAUUUUCAAAAACCGCUUAUUCAAAACAACUUAUUUAUACAAAACAGCUUAUUACGACCUCUUUUUCAAAAACAGCUUAUUUAUACAAAACAGCUUAAUAUGAUCUCUUUUUCAAAAACAGCUUAUUCAAAACAGCUUAUUUGUACAAAAUAGCUUAAUACGACAUCAUUUUCAAAAACCGCUUAUUCAAAACAACUUAUUUAUACAAAACAUCUUAAUAUGACUUCAUUUUACAAAAUAGCUUAUUCAAAACAACUUAUUUAUGCAAAACAGCUUAAUACGACCUCAUUUUCAAAAACGGCUUAUUCAAAACAGCUUAUUUAUGCAAAACAGCUUAAUACGAUCUCUUUUUCAAAAACAGCUUAUUUAUACAAAACAGCUUAUUACGACCUCAAUUUCAAAAAUCGCUUCUUUAAAACAAUUUAUUUAUACAAAACAGCUUAAUACGACAUCAUUUUCAAAAAUCGCUUAUUCGAAACAACUUAUUUAUACAAAACAGCUUAUUACGACCUCAUUUUCAAAAAUCGCUUAUUCAAAACAACUUAUUUAUACAAAACUGUUUAUAACGACCUCAUUUCAAAAACCUCUUAUUCAAAACAAUUUAUUUAUGCAAAACAACUUAUUAUGUCCUCUUUUCAAAAAAUAACUUAUUCAAAACAGCUUAUUUAUGCAAAACCGCUUAUUACGAUCUCUUUUUUAAAAACAACUUAUUCAAAAAAACUUAUUUAUGCAAAACAACUUAUUAUGAUCUCUUUUUCAAAAACAACUUAUUCAAAACAACUUAUUUAUUCAAAACUUUUUUUGUAAAAAUAAGUUAUUUUGAAUAAGCUGUUUUUUGAAAAGAUGUCGUAAUAAGUUGUUUUGCAUUAAUAAGUUGUUUUGAAUAAGCUGUUUUUUGAAAAUAGGUGAUAAUAAGCUGUUUUGGAUAAGUAAGCUGUUUAGAAUAAGUUGUUUUUGAAAUAUAGAUUGUAUUAAGCGAUUUUUGACUAAGCAGAUUUUGAAAAUGAGGUCAUAAUAAGCAGUUUUGUAUAAAUAAGUUGUUUUGAAUAAGCGGAGUUUGAAAAUGAGGUCGUAAUAAGCUGUUUUUAUAUAAAUAAGCUGUUUUGAAUAAGCUGUUUUUGAAAGAAAAAAAAUCGUAUUAAGCUGUUUUGCAUAAAUAAGUUGUUUUGAAUAAGCUAUUUUUUAAAAUGAAGUCAUAUUAAGCUGUUUUGUAUAAAUAAGUUGUUUUAAAUAAGCGAUUUUUGAAAUUGAGGUCGUAAUAAGCUGUUUUGUAUAAAUAAGCUGUUUUUGAAAAAGAGAUCGUAUUAAGCUGUUUUGCAUAAAUAAGCUGUUUUGAAUAAGCCGUUUUUGAAAAUGAGGUCGUAUUAAGCUGUUUUGCAUAAAUAAGCUGUUUUGAAUAAGCUAUUUUUUAAAAUGAAGUGAUAUUAAGCUGUUUUGUAUAAAUAAGUUGUUUUAAAGAAGCGAUUUUUGAAAUUGAGGUCGUAAUAAGUUGUUUUGUAUAAAUAAGCUGUUUUUGAAAAAGAGAUCGUAUUAAGCUGUUUUGCAUAAAUAAGCCGUUUUUGAAAAUGAGGUCGUAUUAAGUUGUUUUGCAUAAAUAAGUUGUUUUGAAUAAGCUAUUUUUUAAAAUGAAGUCAUAUUAAGCUGUUUUUUAUAUAAAUAAGUUGUUUUAAAUAAGCGAUUUUUGAAAUUGAGGUCGUAAUAAGCUGUUUUGUAUAAAUAAGCUGUUUUUGAAAAAGAGAUCGUAUUAAGCUGUUUUGCAUAAAUAAGCUGUUUUGAAUAAGCUGUUUUUCGAAAAAGAGAUCGUAUUAAGCUGUUUUGCAUAAAUAAGCUGUUUUGAAUAAGCUGUAUUUGAAAAUGAGGUCUAUUAAGGUGUUUUGCAUAAAUAAGCUGUUUUUGUAAAUGAGGUCGUAAUAAGCUGUUUUGUAUAAAUAAGUUGUUUUGAAUAAUCUGUUUUUGAAAAAGAUAUCGUAUUAAGCUGUUUUGCAUAAAUAAGUUGUUUUGAAUAUGUUGUUUUUAAAAAAAAUAUAUCGUAAUAAGCUGUUUUGUAUAAAUAAGCUGUUUUGAAUAAGCUGUUUUUGAAAAAGAGAUCGUAUUAAGCUGUUUUGCGUAAAUAAGCUGUUUUUGAAAAAGAGAUCGUAUUAAGCUGUUUUGCGUAAAUAAGCUGUUUUUGGAAAAGAGGUCGUAAUAAGCUGUUUUGUAUAAAUAAGAUGUUUCGAAUAAGCGGUUUUUGAAAAUGAGGUCGUAAUAAGCUUUUUAUAUAAAUAAGCAGUUUUGAAUAAGCUGUUUUUGAAAAAGAGAUCGUAUUAAGAUGUUUUGCAUAAAUAAGUUGUUUUGAAUAAGCUGUUUUUGAAAAUGAGGUCCUAUUAAGCUGUUUUGUAUAAAUAAGUUGUUUUCAAUAAGCUGUUUUUGAAAAUGAGGUCGUAAUAAGUUGUUUUGCAUAAAUAAGUUGUUUUGAAUAAGCUGUUUUUGAAAAUGAGGUCCUAUUAAGCUGUUUUGUAUAAAUAAGUUGUUUUGAAUAAGUUGUUUUUAAAAAAGAUUGUAAUAAUUUUAGUAAGGUCUAAAAUUGGAAUUUUGAAUUAUUAAGAGGGCAAAAUUGUCAAUUAGUAUGUUUAACCCCCCAAAACCCUCCAAUUUGGGGGAACUUUAAAAUUGGACAAAUUAAACCCUUCAAAACCCCCCAAAACCUUUCCCUUGUUUUUUUAAAACUUGCAAACAAGGGUUACCACUCCAUAAGCCUUUCCUUCCCUUCCCCUCCCCUUCAAAAUUCAACUCCCAAACAAAGCCUUACUAAAGGAAAGCACAACAACAACAAAAACACAAGGAAUUUCAACUCAUAAGAUCCUUUUUUUUAAGCCAACUAAGUACUUGCAGAAAGAAAGUGCUUCCCACUGCCAUUCCAGCAACAAGACCACCUCCAUACCCAAUAAGCACUAUUUUCCAAUCAAAUUCAAACAAUGAUCCUGAAUCCUCGUCAUCAUCAUCGUCAUCAGAGGUAGAAGGACCUCCAUGAUCUAUACACUUCUUCAACAACUGAUCCCCACACAGACCUUGAUUACCCUCAAAUGAAUCACCUUUGAACGUAGAAAACUGAUUAUUUUGUGGUAUAGGACCUGUGAGAUUGUUAAAGGACAAAUUUAAGAACUGCAAAAAGGUAAUUUGUGCCAACUGUUGGGGAAUUUUCCCUGAAAGACUGUUGACAGAAAGAUCUAGUGCUUCAAGGUUUGAAAGCUUCCCUAAGGAAGAUUGAAUGCUGCCAAUAAGGAGGUUAUUAGAGAAGUUGAGCAAAACAAGGCCCUUCAACUCGCCUAUGCCUUGUGGUAUUUCUCCACUGAUUUUGUUGCUUGAAAUAUCAAUGGCUAUUAAGUUGUAAAUUUUUUGAAGGUUAUUGUAAACCAUGGCCACCCCUUUGUUUGACAUUGUGAGCGAAUAAAACUUUUCUGUUGACGUAAAAUAUUGUCCUUCAUUGUUCGACGUCGAGUAAGACUCGUACUGUAAUUGACUUGCGUUGAAAGUAUUCAUUGCUUUCCAACUUUGGAUCAUUUCUGUUGGAAAACUUCCAGAGAACUGAUUGUGAGAAAGGUCAAUGAUGUGAAGUUUGGAAAAUGUGCAUGUCAUGUUGCCAGAGCACCUAACGUCUCCAUGGAAUUCAUUGUUACCUAAAGACAAUACCUUCAACUCAGGUAAAUCUCCCAGCCAGAAUGGAAAUGAAUCAUUGAUAUUAUUGUAGCUAACAUCAAAGAAUUCUAGAAUUCUGCUGUUUACCUUUUAGAUCCAGACUUUCUAAAGGUUGGCUAAAGUUCCCUAGACAUGAAGGAAUGUUGCCACCUAAGUUGUUGAACGUGAAAUCAAGCAUCACGAGUGAUUUGAGAUUGCAUAUGGAUGGGGAUAUUUCUCCUGUCAAUGAACUAUGGGAAACAUCUAAGCUUUUUAGCCUUGCUUUUUUCCACAACCAUUCAGGUAGCGAUGUUAUAUUGUUGUUUGACAACGUAAGAAAUUCCAUCUCAGCCAAAUCUCUUAUAAAUGUUGGAAUCUCAACUAAAUUGCAUUCAGCCAACUGUAAUAUUUGAAGUCCAGAAUUUGUUAAAUGGGAUGAAUUGUUUCCACUUAACAAUGACAGUUUGUUAAAUGAUAAAUCUAAAAAAACUAGCUUUUUGAGAUUCAGAAACGUGUCAAGCUCAAGCUUUCCAUGCAGAAAAUUAGAGUGUAGGUUCAAGUAAGCUAAAUUGGUUAGAUUCAUUAACCAAGAUGGAAUUUGACCCUUUAUAUAGCUAUUUGUUGCACUUAAUACUUCUAGUUGCGUGAGAUUUGCGAAAGAUAAUGGGAUAUAUCCAAGGCAAAUAAUGAUGAAAGCUUAUCUACCCAUGAGAAGGUUUCAAUAGUAAAUUCAUUGAAACCAACAUUCAAGAGGCUUAGCUUGGUAAGAUUUGCCAAGGAUGCAGAAGGGUCACCCCUAAAUUUGUUAUUUUUGAGGCUUAUCUGCUCAAGUUGUGUGAGGUUUCCAAGCGAAGAAGGAAUAAAUCCAAAGAAACGGCAAUCUGGAAUUCCUAGGACAAUUAAAGAACUAACCUUUCCAAUGGAUACUGGUAGUGUACCAGAGAAACCUGUCCCACCAAGUGCUAAUUCAGUGAGUGAACUAGACUCAAACUCAGGCAAUCUACCAUUGAGAUUUGGAUUAUAUCUCAAAUCUAGAAGUUCCAAGUUUGGAAGAUGAAAUACUCCAACUGGAAAUGCACCAUACAAUUCAGAAUUGUAAAGAGAUAGUUUUUUUAUGAAGUUAGAUUCGUGAGUGUGUCUGGUAAAGUAGAUGAAAUAGUUACAAAACUAAGAAAAAGGAUCUCAAUUUUUGUUGAGUUUUGAAUUAUGCUUCUGAGACUAGACAAUUUGAGUUGCAACAAAUUGGAUGUACUACCUUUAGGACGUACUAUAGCUCUGAAACCUAGAUCAAGAGACAACAACUUGGACAACUGGGAAACUUGUCGUGGAAUUUCUCCAGAAAAUAAGUUAAGAGAAAGGUUCAAAAAUUUUAGUUGUGAAAGCUCACCUAUCUUGGUAGGGAUUUUAGAGUAAUUGAAGUUAUUAUCAGAUAGAUCAAGAACUCGAAGGUGCACAAGGCGAAAGAGACUGCUAUUUGCAUCCAUUGUACCAUAGAGUUGGCUGCUACUAAGAUUGAUGUGAAUCACAUGAUCUGUGUGCUUAUGACAUUUAAUGCCAUCCCAUGAGCAGCAAUCUGUGCUGGAAUUCCAAGAUGAUGUUUUAGGAUAACCAAGAAGAUCAUCAGAGGCUAAGUUAUUGAUGACAAAGCCUUCCUUAAAUUGCAACAAGGCAUGGCUUUCAUAUUGAUGACAUUUUGGCUGAAUUUGAGGUAAACAUGUAGUAAAUGUGAAAGAGAGAAGUGAAUAAGGAAAAAAAAAAUUACAAACAAAACAUGAGACCACACAAACACCAUUGUAUUUGAAUAUUUUGAAAUUGGUCUUUUGGAUGAAAUGCUAGACACAAACAUGUUUUGAAUACUAUAGGAAUGGACUGCAUAUAACAAAUGAAAAUGAUUUCUAGUGAACUUGAUUAUCAUUGACCAAAAAAAACUUUGUUUUCUAUUUUCUAGACAUUUGGCUAUUAUUUGACUCAGCAAUUUGCUCUGAUUUUCUUGCUACUUGCAUUCUUGGAAAACAAUUUAAUUGACUUCAAUCUAGAACUGACUGUCCAUGUAAGAGCUUGCACAAAUUUAUUGAAAAUUUAUAUCAAAGCACGCUCUUUCAAACAACCUUUAUUGCUUUUACAUACAUAGGAAACUCUUACAGAAUGCAAUUACAAGAACAGAAGGAAACUAAAACAAAUUAGAAACAUAAAUAGGGAGGACUAGUAUGUUUAUUGUUUUGGACUCACAACACCCUUUUAAGCCAUAAAAUAAUAACAACUUUAAUGUCUCUUAAAAAUCUUAUUAAGGAAAAUUAUAACUGAAACGCUAACGUGAUCUCUAUACCAUGCAAAUACCUGCAGAAAGUAACUGUUUCCCAAUGCCACUCCAGCAACAAGACCUCCUCCAUACCCAAUAAGCACUAUUUUCCAAUCAAUUUCAAAGAAAGAUCCCGAGUCAUUGUCAUUAUUAGAGGUAGAAGGUCUUGCAUGAUCUUUACACUUCUUCAACAGCUGAUCCCCACACAAUCCUUGGUUACCCUCAAAUGAAUCACUUUUGAAUGUAGAAAACUGAUUAUUUUGUGGUAUAGGACCUGUGAGAUUGUUAAAGGACACAUUUAAGAACGCCAAAAAGGUGAUUUCUGCCAACUGUUGGGGAAUUUUUCCUGAAAGACUGUUGCGAGAAAGAUCUAGUGCUUCAAGGUUCGAAAGCUUCCCUAAGGAAGAUGGAAUGCUGCCAAUAAGGUGGUUAUUUGACAAGUUGAGCAAAACAAGACCCUUCAACUCGCCAAUCACUUGU